This 743-nucleotide ribosomal RNA is filed under the name uncultured bacterium. RNAcentral's name for it is "bacterial SSU rRNA". It matches the Rfam family "Bacterial small subunit ribosomal RNA", at positions 94 to 823 of the family's 1533-position model. The record is from RNAcentral.
AGCGGCGGAUGGGUGAGUAACACGUGGGGAACCUGCCCCUAAGUCUGGGAUACCAUUUGGAAACAGGUGCUAAUACCGGAUAAUAAAGCAGAUCGCAUGAUCAGCUUUUGAAAGGCGGCGUAAGCUGUCGCUAAGGGAUGGCCCCGCGGUGCAUUAGCUAGUUGGUAAGGUAACGGCUUACCAAGGCGACGAUGCAUAGCCGAGUUGAGAGACUGAUCGGCCACAUUGGGACUGAGACACGGCCCAAACUCCUACGGGAGGCAGCAGUAGGGAAUCUUCCAUAAUGGACGCAAGUCUGAUGGAGCAACGCCGCGUGAGUGAAGAAGGUUUUCGGAUCGUAAAGCUCUGUUGUUGGUGAAGAAGGAUAGAGGUAGUAACUGGCCUUUAUUUGGCGGUAAUCAACCAGAAAGUCACGGCUAACUACGUGCCAGCAGCCGCGGUAAUACGUAGGUGGCAAGCGUUGUCCGGAUUUAUUGGGCGUAAAGCGAGCGCAGGCGGAAAAAUAAGUCUAAUGUGAAAGCCCUCGGCUUAACCGAGGAACUGCAUCGGAAACUGUUUUUCUUGAGUGCAGAAGAGGAGAGUGGAACUCCAUGUGUAGCGGUGGAAUGCGUAGAUAUAUGGAAGAACACCAGUGGCGAAGGCGGCUCUCUGGUCUGCAACUGACGCUGAGGCUCGAAAGCAUGGGUAGCGAACAGGAUUAGAUACCCUGGUAGUCCAUGCCGUAAACGAUGAGUGCUAAGUGU